CCUACGGGGGGCAGCAGUAGGGAAUCUUCCACAAUGGGCGAAAGCCUGAUGGAGCAACGCCGCGUGGGUGAAGAAGGUCUUCGGAUCGUAAAACCCUGUUGUUAGAGAAGAAAGUGCGGGAGAGUAACUGGUCACGUGUGGACGGUAUCGAACCAGAAAGCCACGGCUAACUACGUGCCAGCAGCCGCGGUAAGACGUAGGUGGCAAGCGUUAGCCGGAUUUAUUGGGCGUAAAGGGAACGCAGGCGGUCUUUUAAGUCUGAUGUGAAAGCCUUCGGCUUAACCGGAGUAGUGCCUUUGAAACUGGUAUACUUGAGUGCAGAAGAGGAUAGUGGCACUCCAUGUGUAGCGG
This 351-nucleotide ribosomal RNA is filed under the name uncultured bacterium. RNAcentral's name for it is "partial 16S ribosomal RNA". It matches the Rfam family "Bacterial small subunit ribosomal RNA", at positions 338 to 681 of the family's 1533-position model. The record is from RNAcentral.